UGAUUACUCCGCCCUCUGCUUCACACCAUGUAUACUGUUCCAUGCCAUGUCAUAGUUCAUGCUGCUCCUUUCACGCCACAGUCCGCAAGGAGCAAGCAGGCCAACUGGACGUAGGACAGGCCUGGGCAAUUAUUUUGACUUGGGGGCCACAUUUAGAGCAUUCUUCGAGUUUUGCUAGCAACGGACAAGCGGCGCGUGAUUUGAAACAGUCUGGAAGUAUCCACAGCGUCGUCGACACUGCCCCCUGCCGCCCCUUCCGCAGCACAUAAAUAUUAACCAACGAGAUUCCGGGGAUUGAAGUGUGCAAGGUCAGACAGAACUUUGAUGGAGUUGCGCAGUGUAAACACUGUGAAUGUAGGCCGAGGGCACAUAGGCUCUGAUUUAAAGCAAACACCCAAAGACGGAGAAGGAAGGAGGAAAGUUUCUUGCAUGUGAAGACUUGAGUAUAAGUGAGUGGGCUGCUAGAGUCUGCAUGGAGCUGCAGUCCUUGUUGUGCUAGUCUGUGUACUCAAGAGCAAAACAAAACACUUUAGUGCAGAUGGCUCAGUUUUCAUGCUAGAAUUGUUUUGUCAGGGACUUGCAGUAAAGAGAAAAUGCAUAAAGUGAGGGCAGCUUUUGUGACCUGUAACCUGACAU
Molecule: long non-coding RNA, 636 nt
Organism: Nerophis ophidion (straightnose pipefish)
Lineage: Eukaryota; Metazoa; Chordata; Actinopteri; Syngnathiformes; Syngnathidae
Exons: 4
Source: RefSeq, a predicted model, not a curated record